This 253-nucleotide ribosomal RNA is filed under the name uncultured bacterium. RNAcentral describes it as "partial 16S ribosomal RNA". It matches the Rfam family "Bacterial small subunit ribosomal RNA", at positions 524 to 776 of the family's 1533-position model. The record is from RNAcentral.
UACGUAGGUGGCAAGCGUUGUCCGGAUUUACUGGGCGUAAAGAGCGCGCAGGCGGUCUUUUAAGUCGAAUGUGAAAGCCCCCGGCUCAACUGGGGAGGGUCAUUCGAUACUGAUCGACUUGAAGGCAGGAGAGGGUAGUGGAAUUCCCGGUGUAGUGGUGAAAUGCGUAGAUAUUUGGAGGAAUACCGAUGGCGAAGGCAGCUUUCUGGCUCGUUACUGACACUGAGAUUCGAAAGCGUGGGUAGCAAACAGG